UGCCAGAGAGAGCACAGGUUUAAUGUUAACACUAAGGUCGCCCAGACUGAGUUGUUAGUUUUAUCAAUCCUGUUGUAGCGGAUAUUAGAUUGAUCACGGUGUGGUCACCACGAGGAUUAUUGUCGAUGUAAAGUCCAGGGAUGUGGAACGGGAUGUGGAACGACAACUAUUUUAUUGUGGGAAGGAUCGGCGGGAGAUGAGGCGUUAGAUGAGUCGGAGGUUUGCUCUCGGGAAUGCAAGUUCCUUUUUUGUCGAGGAUUUUCGUUGGAACGAAUUCCUUUAGAAUUCGACGUGGAAGCCCAAGUUUGCAAGUCGCAAGCACUUUUUGAGAGCGUGUUGUAAGUGCUACUUCUGUCGAGCGGCAGAACAUUGGCCGACAACUUCACUCAUGCACGUAGUAUGUAUUCAUGUCUACAGUGUGAUAUGUGCACUGGAAUGGUGCUUGUAGUGCCAAUCAGUGUGAUGUGUCAAGGCAUCUCCGUCUGGGGUAUGUGAUUGAGAAUAUUGUUUCUAUCGGCGAAGAAAAGAACUACACUCAACCAUGCAUCCUGUCAAUUACACCGUGAAAUUGAAGUAUCCUAUUCAGCUUCUACGGAGGCCCUUGCAGUUUUGCGAGAACCGAGCGUGCUAAAGGAAGAUUUAAAGAGUGAAGACUAACUGAAGCAGAUAUUCAGAGGAGCGAGAGGCAACAGAAACCGAUGUGCUUCUAUUUCACACGGGGGUUGAGCACACUGGUACUCCACCUGUCUUCCAGCUAGUCAUUUCAUUUGUGUCUUUUGGAACUUAUUUUGGCACGUCCUCGGAUCUCCUUCCUCUUAAAAUAAAACUGUAAAUCCUACACCUCGUGCCCCUUAUAGUCAUUGUGCUAAGACUGAUGCAGAAUAAUUCCGACACAUCCAAACCUUGUUUAAGAAACCCCUGAAAUUAAGCGGCGCUGCUGAAACAAGGUAUUGGAACCGCGGUUCAAUGGUAUGUACCGGGGAUCAACACUGAGCUUGUAGAGAGUAUAACAUAUGGCACUGUACAGAUUAUGUGAUAUGCUCAGAGCACUUGGGAGUUGUUUCGGAGUGGACGGUGGUUGUGGGGCACUGUUAGAAAGAUUGUUCAAAAUGAUCGUGACCAAACACACUUCGCUAAGGUUUAUGCAUUCGGUCUGCGCCUUAGUGUUUGUGUGGUGUAUACUGGAUUUAACCGAUCGGAAACUAACAAAGAUGCAUUGGUGCCUUUAUUCAA
Non-coding RNA from Physcomitrium patens, 1233 nucleotides. The record is from RefSeq and is a predicted model, not a curated record. Lineage: Eukaryota; Viridiplantae; Streptophyta; Bryopsida; Funariales; Funariaceae.